Molecule: ribosomal RNA, 720 nt
Filed under: uncultured anaerobic ammonium-oxidizing bacterium
Lineage: Bacteria
Description: bacterial SSU rRNA
Rfam family: Bacterial small subunit ribosomal RNA
Source: RNAcentral
GAGCACGUAGGUGGGUUUGUAAGUCAGAUGUGAAAGCCUUCUGUUCAACGGAAGAAUUGCAUCUGAAACUGCAAGUCUUGAGUGUAGGAGGGGAGAAUGGAACUUCUGGUGGAGCGGUGAAAUGCGUAGAUAUCAGAAGGAACGCCGGCGGCGAAAGCGAUUCUCUGGCCUAUUACUGACACUCAGUGUGCGAAAGCUAGGGGAGCAAACGGGAUUAGAUACCCCGGUAGUCCUAGCCGUAAACGAUGGGCACUAAGUAGAGGGAAUUACCGAUGUUCUCUCUGCCGUAGCUAACGAAUUAAGUGCCCCGCCUGGGGAGUACGGCCGCAAGGCUAAAACUCAAAAGAAUUGACGGGGGCUCGCGCAAGCGGUGGAGCAUGUGGCUUAAUUCGAUGCAACGCGAAAAACCUUACCGGGGCUUGACAUGGUAGAAGUAGGAACCCGAAAGGGUAACGAACGGUAUCCAGUCCGUAGCUAUCACAGGUGUUGCAUGGCUGUCGUCAGCUCGUGUCGUGAGACGUUGGGUUAAGUCCCCUAACGAGCGAAACCCUUGUUUUUAGUUACCAGCGGGUUAUGCCGGGUACUCUAGAAAGACUGCCGUCGUCAAGACGGAGGAAGGUGGGGAUGACGUCAAGUCAUCAUGGCCCUUAUGCCCCGGGCUGCACACGUGCUACAAUGGUCGGUACAAACGGAUGCGAAGCCGAGAGGUGAAGCGAAUCC